Molecule: long non-coding RNA, 1799 nt
Filed under: Fragaria vesca (wild strawberry)
Lineage: Eukaryota; Viridiplantae; Streptophyta; Magnoliopsida; Rosales; Rosaceae
Description: long non-coding RNA (FVES_LNC001367)
Source: RNAcentral
AUAGGGAAGCAUAAGCCUAAAUAGGGUUAACCGCUUUUAUCGGGACUUAAAACAUUACCAAAAAUACGUAAUUUUUUAAAUCUAACCGUAUUUAGCUAUACCGAUCACAUCAUAUUUCACAAUAUUGAAAAAUUGAAGUGAUGCAGAGGAUAUAAAGAUGAUUUCACUUAAGCGAUAGAAAUAUUUCGUCACUAAAGUCAAAAAAUUGUGUCGCUUUAGUUUAAAACUAAGACGACGGACGAAAAGUUAAUUUGUCAGUUAGGUGAAGGAUAUCAUGCAACAAACAUUUUCAUCGCUUAAGUGUUAACAUUUUCAUCGCUACAUAAAUCUUCUGCGACAAAAUCCGUGUUGUCGCCUUAGAGGGACCUAUGGUGACGAAAUUUAGGCGACAAAAACAUUUUGCCGCCCCAGAAAAUUGUAGCGACGAAAUAUGUAUCUCCGGCGACGAUAUUUAUUUUCGUCGUUUAGGAUUUGCUUAAGCGAAGGGACGAAAUGUAAAAGUGCCCGUCACUUGAGCCUUUUUUUCUACUAGUGUUCCGCUGUCAUCUGUAAAAAGACAAGAAGAUAGUGGUACAUAGAAAAAAGGAAAAUACCCAUUUGCACAUAAACAUGGAUUUUAAAGCCUAUUUCAAUAAAAAUAAGACUUCAUAGCUCAUUCCAAUAAAAACUAAACAAAAGGAUGACCUUACCCUCGCUACAAUUCAACUAAACCUCUCUCCUUGUUUCACAUCCCGAUCUAAAUUCUCUCUCUCUCUCUCNNNNNNNNNNNNNNNNNNNNCUACCUACUACCUACUACUACUCUCUCUCUCUCUCUCUCUCUCUCUCUCUCUCUCUCUCUCUCUCUCUCUCUCAUCGUCAGCGAUGAUGUCAACGACCAUCACCAAUCGGAUCCGGAUUCCUAGGGUCCGUUUUCAAGAGCUGAUCUGGUUGUGCUACCUCGCUCCUCGCCGCGGUUUCGAAAUCCGACUUCGAUAGGAUCCGAUUGAGAGAAGGGAGACGAAGGGACGUUAUGGUCUGAGGUGCUAGUGGUUCAACUCAAUGCGCGGGCUGCCAGACAUUUUCACCGUCGUUUGAGGUUCUAGUCAUUGCAUGUUUGUCGACGAGAGAAGCUCGAACAACGUCGCCGGAGCUAAUCCUUUGCGAGAUCCGGCCUCGUAAUCAUUUCGAAUUCCAAGCUUCGACUAGUACUAGCCUCACCGACUGGAAGGGCCGGUGGAGACUCUUGCAUCUAUUGUCCCACCCUUCCAUCGACGUCAGAGAAGAAAUCGACCGGAAAUUCGAAAAUUUCUAAGUUGCAGAGAUUUCGGUCGAGUUCUUCAAGGGGUAAUAAAGUUCUACUAGGGGUAAUAAAUCUAGGGAAGUUUAUUGCCCCCUAGUAAAAUUUCAAUGGAAGUUUAUUGCCCUCAAACAAAACAUUUUUCAUCAUUACUGCCUCUCAAUAAGUUUUUAUUGACCUCAAUAGAAGUUUAUUACCCCCAAUAAAACCUCAGUAGAAGUUUAUUGCCCCCCAGUGAAAUCUCAGUAGAAGUUUAUUGUCCCUCCCCCCUAGCAAAACAUUUUUCAUCAAUACUGCCCCUCAAUAAGGUUCUAGUGACCUCAGUAGAAGUUUAUUGCCCCCCAGUAAAACAUUUUUCAUCAUUACUGCCCUCAAUUAAACUUCAGCGAUGGUGUGGUAUGCUUUCGGCAAGAUUUGGUAGAUUCCGGUGACGUUAAAAAAAAUCCUGCGAGAUUCCAGCGACCAGCGAGAUUUCGGACAUCGGUGAGGUUUUGGCCAAAUCUUCUCUCUCUCUCUCUNNNNN